Molecule: transfer RNA, 98 nt
Filed under: Streptomyces parvus
Lineage: Bacteria; Bacillati; Actinomycetota; Actinomycetes; Kitasatosporales; Streptomycetaceae
Description: tRNA-Gly
Source: RNAcentral
GCCGAAGCUGAUCGACAAGGUCCGCGAGUACGGCGUCCCCGGCGUCCACGACGAGGAGACCGAGGAGUGCACGCCGGGCACGGACCCCGGCUUCGGCG